UGAGAUCUAAUAUCAGCCAUUAAAAGUUUAAAUAUUAUUAAAUCUUAACCACUCACUUUUUUUUCUCACACAUCACACCCACCUUUCCCGUCUCUCUCACUUUCCAUAAACUCCAUCUCCAACCUCUCCACCUUGUUCUUCCCCAACCUUCCGGCCACCACUUCCGAUCAACUCACCACACCUCGUCGCCGCCUAUCUCUCCCCGCAGCCCAACUCUCUCCGUUCUCCCUUAUCUCCCCGACGCCAAACUCAUCUGCUUCUCUUUCUCCACCCUAACACCAGAUUUGUUGUUUCAACACACUCCCUUGUCCCUCUUGCCCUCCGCCUCCCCGUAAAUCGCGAGCUCCGUCACAGGAGCAAAAUAAAGUUAGCUUGCGACGCAUUUGAUGUGUUAUGAAUGUACGCGUAGAUCGUGUACGACAUAGUCAACACAGUCGGCACCGUUGGUGGUGGUGGUUGUUUGUAGAUGGCGGUGGUGUGAUGAUUUUUGUUCUUACGGUGGCAUUUUUGUUUUCUGGUGGUGAUUUUUGUUUUUACAGAGGUGAUUUUAAUUUUCUGCAGUUGAUUUUUUAUUUUCCGGCGCUGAUUUUAUGUUUUCCAGUGGUGAUUUUAUGUUUGACGGUGAUUUUCUGGUGGUCGCCGGAGGUGGUGGUGCUGGUCAGCGGUGGUUGAAGGUGAUAGGUAGUUGAAUUUGAAGAUGAUGAAAUAUUAAAAUAUUAAAUGAAUGGUGAGAGAUGAAUACAAUGUAUUUAAAUGAGUGGUGGAUAUUAGAUCUCAUAUCCCACCAUAAAAUUGGUUCUUACUGGAACAUGACUCUAUAUAUAUAUAUGUUUCGGUUCUGUUAA
This is a long non-coding RNA of Daucus carota subsp. sativus, 845 nucleotides long. RefSeq lists it as uncharacterized. NCBI's taxonomy places the organism in Eukaryota, Viridiplantae, Streptophyta, Magnoliopsida, Apiales, Apiaceae. The transcript has 2 exons. The record is from RefSeq and is a predicted model, not a curated record.